This 2929-nucleotide ribosomal RNA is filed under the name Escherichia coli. RNAcentral describes it as "23S ribosomal RNA". It matches the Rfam family "Bacterial large subunit ribosomal RNA". The record is from RNAcentral. Lineage: Bacteria; Pseudomonadati; Pseudomonadota; Gammaproteobacteria; Enterobacterales; Enterobacteriaceae.
GGGUUGUGAGGUUAAGCGACUAAGCGUACACGGUGGAUGCCCUGGCAGUCAGAGGCGAUGAAGGACGUGCUAAUCUGCGAUAAGCGUCGGUAAGGUGAUAUGAACCGUUAUAACCGGCGAUUUCCGAAUGGGGAAACCCAGUGUGUUUCGACACACUAUCAUUAACUGAAUCCAUAGGUUAAUGAGGCGAACCGGGGGAACUGAAACAUCUAAGUACCCCGAGGAAAAGAAAUCAACCGAGAUUCCCCCAGUAGCGGCGAGCGAACGGGGAGCAGCCCAGAGCCUGAAUCAGUGUGUGUGUUAGUGGAAGCGUCUGGAAAGGCGCGCGAUACAGGGUGACAGCCCCGUACACAAAAAUGCACAUAUUGUGAGCUCGAUGAGUAGGGCGGGACACGUGGUAUCCUGUCUGAAUAUGGGGGGACCAUCCUCCAAGGCUAAAUACUCCUGACUGACCGAUAGUGAACCAGUACCGUGAGGGAAAGGCGAAAAGAACCCCGGCGAGGGGAGUGAAAAAGAACCUGAAACCGUGUACGUACAAGCAGUGGGAGCCUCUUUUAUGGGGUGACUGCGUACCUUUUGUAUAAUGGGUCAGCGACUUAUAUUCUGUAGCAAGGUUAACCGAAUAGGGGAGCCGAAGGGAAACCGAGUCUUAACUGGGCGUUAAGUUGCAGGGUAUAGACCCGAAACCCGGUGAUCUAGCCAUGGGCAGGUUGAAGGUUGGGUAACACUAACUGGAGGACCGAACCGACUAAUGUUGAAAAAUUAGCGGAUGACUUGUGGCUGGGGGUGAAAGGCCAAUCAAACCGGGAGAUAGCUGGUUCUCCCCGAAAGCUAUUUAGGUAGCGCCUCGUGAAUUCAUCUCCGGGGGUAGAGCACUGUUUCGGCAAGGGGGUCAUCCCGACUUACCAACCCGAUGCAAACUGCGAAUACCGGAGAAUGUUAUCACGGGAGACACACGGCGGGUGCUAACGUCCGUCGUGAAGAGGGAAACAACCCAGACCGCCAGCUAAGGUCCCAAAGUCAUGGUUAAGUGGGAAACGAUGUGGGAAGGCCCAGACAGCCAGGAUGUUGGCUUAGAAGCAGCCAUCAUUUAAAGAAAGCGUAAUAGCUCACUGGUCGAGUCGGCCUGCGCGGAAGAUGUAACGGGGCUAAACCAUGCACCGAAGCUGCGGCAGCGACACUGUGUGUUGUUGGGUAGGGGAGCGUUCUGUAAGCCUGUGAAGGUGUACUGUGAGGUAUGCUGGAGGUAUCAGAAGUGCGAAUGCUGACAUAAGUAACGAUAAAGCGGGUGAAAAGCCCGCUCGCCGGAAGACCAAGGGUUCCUGUCCAACGUUAAUCGGGGCAGGGUGAGUCGACCCCUAAGGCGAGGCCGAAAGGCGUAGUCGAUGGGAAACAGGUUAAUAUUCCUGUACUUGGUGUUACUGCGAAGGGGGGACGGAGAAGGCUAUGUUGGCCGGGCGACGGUUGUCCCGGUUUAAGCGUGUAGGCUGGUUUUCCAGGCAAAUCCGGAAAAUCAAGGCUGAGGCGUGAUGACGAGGCACUACGGUGCUGAAGCAACAAAUGCCCUGCUUCCAGGAAAAGCCUCUAAGCAUCAGGUAACAUCAAAUCGUACCCCAAACCGACACAGGUGGUCAGGUAGAGAAUACCAAGGCGCUUGAGAGAACUCGGGUGAAGGAACUAGGCAAAAUGGUGCCGUAACUUCGGGAGAAGGCACGCUGAUAUGUAGGUGAAGCGACUUGCUCGUGGAGCUGAAAUCAGUCGAAGAUACCAGCUGGCUGCAACUGUUUAUUAAAAACACAGCACUGUGCAAACACGAAAGUGGACGUAUACGGUGUGACGCCUGCCCGGUGCCGGAAGGUUAAUUGAUGGGGUCAGCGCAAGCGAAGCUCUUGAUCGAAGCCCCGGUAAACGGCGGCCGUAACUAUAACGGUCCUAAGGUAGCGAAAUUCCUUGUCGGGUAAGUUCCGACCUGCACGAAUGGCGUAAUGAUGGCCAGGCUGUCUCCACCCGAGACUCAGUGAAAUUGAACUCGCUGUGAAGAUGCAGUGUACCCGCGGCAAGACGGAAAGACCCCGUGAACCUUUACUAUAGCUUGACACUGAACAUUGAGCCUUGAUGUGUAGGAUAGGUGGGAGGCUUUGAAGUGUGGACGCCAGUCUGCAUGGAGCCGACCUUGAAAUACCACCCUUUAAUGUUUGAUGUUCUAACGUUGACCCGUGAUCCGGGUUGCGGACAGUGUCUGGUGGGUAGUUUGACUGGGGCGGUCUCCUCCUAAAGAGUAACGGAGGAGCACGAAGGUUGGCUAAUCCUGGUCGGACAUCAGGAGGUUAGUGCAAUGGCAUAAGCCAGCUUGACUGCGAGCGUGACGGCGCGAGCAGGUGCGAAAGCAGGUCAUAGUGAUCCGGUGGUUCUGAAUGGAAGGGCCAUCGCUCAACGGAUAAAAGGUACUCCGGGGAUAACAGGCUGAUACCGCCCAAGAGUUCAUAUCGACGGCGGUGUUUGGCACCUCGAUGUCGGCUCAUCACAUCCUGGGGCUGAAGUAGGUCCCAAGGGUAUGGCUGUUCGCCAUUUAAAGUGGUACGCGAGCUGGGUUUAGAACGUCGUGAGACAGUUCGGUCCCUAUCUGCCGUGGGCGCUGGAGAACUGAGGGGGGCUGCUCCUAGUACGAGAGGACCGGAGUGGACGCAUCACUGGUGUUCGGGUUGUCAUGCCAAUGGCACUGCCCGGUAGCUAAAUGCGGAAGAGAUAAGUGCUGAAAGCAUCUAAGCACGAAACUUGCCCCGAGAUGAGUUCUCCCUGACUCCUUGAGAGUCCUGAAGGAACGUUGAAGACGACGACGUUGAUAGGCCGGGUGUGUAAGCGCAGCGAUGCGUUGAGCUAACCGGUACUAAUGAACCGUGAGGCUUAACCUUACAACGCCGAAGCUGUU